UACGUAGGGCGCAAGCGUUAUCCGGAAUUAUUGGGCGUAAAGAGCUCGUAGGCGGUUUGUCGCGUCUGCCGUGAAAGUCCGGGGGCUCAACUCCGGAUCUGCGGUGGGGUACGGGGCAGACUAGAGUGAUGUAGGGGGAGACUGGAAUUCCUGGUGUAGCGGUGAAAUGCGCAGAUAUCAGGAAGAACACCCCGUGGGCGAAAGGCGGGUUCUCUGGGGACGGUACUGACGCUGAGACGCGAAAAGCGUGGGGGAGCGAACAGG
This 264-nucleotide ribosomal RNA is filed under the name uncultured bacterium. RNAcentral describes it as "partial 16S ribosomal RNA". It matches the Rfam family "Bacterial small subunit ribosomal RNA", at positions 524 to 776 of the family's 1533-position model. The record is from RNAcentral.